AUGCAAGCGAAUGGCUCGGGCAGGAGACAUGGCUCACGGCGGCGGCGUCUCUCCUCGGGAGGAGCUCGGACGUUGAGGUCGGGGUGUGCGCUACCCUUAGGACGGAGUCCACCGACCCGUGCUGGUCAUGGUCCACCACCACCACGCCUUCAAUCCGACCUCCACCACUCCAGCAAGCAGGAGCAUCGCACUGGAUGA
RNAcentral lists this ribosomal RNA (198 nucleotides) under Triticum aestivum (bread wheat). RNAcentral describes it as "partial small subunit ribosomal RNA". Lineage: Eukaryota; Viridiplantae; Streptophyta; Magnoliopsida; Poales; Poaceae. The record is from RNAcentral.